AGCGUACACGGUGGAUGCCCUGGCAGUCAGAGGCGAUGAAGGACGUGCUAAUCUGCGAUAAGCGUCGGUAAGGUGAUAUGAACCGUUAUAACCGGCGAUUUCCGAAUGGGGAAACCCAGUGUGAUUCGUCACACUAUCAUUAACUGAAUCCAUAGGUUAAUGAGGCGAACCGGGGGAACUGAAACAUCUAAGUACCCCGAGGAAAAGAAAUCAACCGAGAUUCCCCCAGUAGCGGCGAGCGAACGGGGAGGAGCCCAGAGCCUGAAUCAGUGUGUGUGUUAGUGGAAGCGUCUGGAAAGGCGCGCGAUACAGGGUGACAGCCCCGUACACAAAAAUGCACAUGCUGUGAGCUCGAUGAGUAGGGCGGGACACGUGGUAUCCUGUCUGAAUAUGGGGGGACCAUCCUCCAAGGCUAAAUACUCCUGACUGACCGAUAGUGAACCAGUACCGUGAGGGAAAGGCGAAAAGAACCCCGGCGAGGGGAGUGAAAAAGAACCUGAAACCGUGUACGUACAAGCAGUGGGAGCCUCUUUAUGGGGUGACUGCGUACCUUUUGUAUAAUGGGUCAGCGACUUAUAUUCUGUAGCAAGGUUAACCGAAUAGGGGAGCCGAAGGGAAACCGAGUCUUAACUGGGCGUUAAGUUGCAGGGUAUAGACCCGAAACCCGGUGAUCUAGCCAUGGGCAGGUUGAAGGUUGGGUAACACUAACUGGAGGACCGAACCGACUAAUGUUGAAAAAUUAGCGGAUGACUUGUGGCUGGGGGUGAAAGGCCAAUCAAACCGGGAGAUAGCUGGUUCUCCCCGAAAGCUAUUUAGGUAGCGCCUCGUGAACUCAUCUCCGGGGGUAGAGCACUGUUUCGGCAAGGGGGUCAUCCCGACUUACCAACCCGAUGCAAACUGCGAAUACCGGAGAAUGUUAUCACGGGAGACACACGGCGGGUGCUAACGUCCGUCGUGAAGAGGGAAACAACCCAGACCGCCAGCUAAGGUCCCAAAGUCAUGGUUAAGUGGGAAACGAUGUGGGAAGGCCCAGACAGCCAGGAUGUUGGCUUAGAAGCAGCCAUCAUUUAAAGAAAGCGUAAUAGCUCACUGGUCGAGUCGGCCUGCGCGGAAGAUGUAACGGGGCUAAACCAUGCACCGAAGCUGCGGCAGCGACGCUUAUGCGUUGUUGGGUAGGGGAGCGUUCUGUAAGCCUGUGAAGGUGUGCUGUGAGGCAUGCUGGAGGUAUCAGAAGUGCGAAUGCUGACAUAAGUAACGAUAAAGCGGGUGAAAAGCCCGCUCGCCGGAAGACCAAGGGUUCCUGUCCAACGUUAAUCGGGGCAGGGUGAGUCGACCCCUAAGGCGAGGCCGAAAGGCGUAGUCGAUGGGAAACAGGUUAAUAUUCCUGUACUUGGUGUUACUGCGAAGGGGGGACGGAGAAGGCUAUGUUGGCCGGGCGACGGUUGUCCCGGUUUAAGCGUGUAGGCUGGUUUUCCAGGCAAAUCCGGAAAAUCAAGGCUGAGGCGUGAUGACGAGGCACUACGGUGCUGAAGCAACAAAUGCCCUGCUUCCAGGAAAAGCCUCUAAGCAUCAGGUAACAUCAAAUCGUACCCCAAACCGACACAGGUGGUCAGGUAGAGAAUACCAAGGCGCUUGAGAGAACUCGGGUGAAGGAACUAGGCAAAAUGGUGCCGUAACUUCGGGAGAAGGCACGCUGAUAUGUAGGUGAAGUCCCUCGCGGAUGGAGCUGAAAUCAGUCGAAGAUACCAGCUGGCUGCAACUGUUUAUUAAAAACACAGCACUGUGCAAACACGAAAGUGGACGUAUACGGUGUGACGCCUGCCCGGUGCCGGAAGGUUAAUUGAUGGGGUCAGCGCAAGCGAAGCUCUUGAUCGAAGCCCCGGUAAACGGCGGCCGUAACUAUAACGGUCCUAAGGUAGCGAAAUUCCUUGUCGGGUAAGUUCCGACCUGCACGAAUGGCGUAAUGAUGGCCAGGCUGUCUCCACCCGAGACUCAGUGAAAUUGAACUCGCUGUGAAGAUGCAGUGUACCCGCGGCAAGACGGAAAGACCCCGUGAACCUUUACUAUAGCUUGACACUGAACAUUGAGCCUUGAUGUGUAGGAUAGGUGGGAGGCUUAGAAGUGUGGACGCCAGUCUGCAUGGAGCCGACCUUGAAAUACCACCCUUUAAUGUUUGAUGUUCUAACGUUGACCCGUAAUCCGGGUUGCGGACAGUGUCUGGUGGGUAGUUUGACUGGGGCGGUCUCCUCCUAAAGAGUAACGGAGGAGCACGAAGGUUGGCUAAUCCUGGUCGGACAUCAGGAGGUUAGUGCAAUGGCAUAAGCCAGCUUGACUGCGAGCGUGACGGCGCGAGCAGGUGCGAAAGCAGGUCAUAGUGAUCCGGUGGUUCUGAAUGGAAGGGCCAUCGCUCAACGGAUAAAAGGUACUCCGGGGAUAACAGGCUGAUACCGCCCAAGAGUUCAUAUCGACGGCGGUGUUUGGCACCUCGAUGUCGGCUCAUCACAUCCUGGGGCUGAAGUAGGUCCCAAGGGUAUGGCUGUUCGCCAUUUAAAGUGGUACGCGAGCUGGGUUUAGAACGUCGUGAGACAGUUCGGUCCCUAUCUGCCGUGGGCGCUGGAGAACUGAGGGGGGCUGCUCCUAGUACGAGAGGACCGGAGUGGACGCAUCACUGGUGUUCGGGUUGUCAUGCCAAUGGCACUGCCCGGUAGCUAAAUGCGGAAGAGAUAAGUGCUGAAAGCAUCUAAGCACGAAACUUGCCCCGAGAUGAGUUCU
Molecule: ribosomal RNA, 2772 nt
Filed under: Escherichia coli
Lineage: Bacteria; Pseudomonadati; Pseudomonadota; Gammaproteobacteria; Enterobacterales; Enterobacteriaceae
Description: bacterial LSU rRNA
Rfam family: Bacterial large subunit ribosomal RNA
Source: RNAcentral